RNAcentral lists this ribosomal RNA (514 nucleotides) under uncultured bacterium. RNAcentral describes it as "bacterial SSU rRNA". It matches the Rfam family "Bacterial small subunit ribosomal RNA", at positions 389 to 894 of the family's 1533-position model. The record is from RNAcentral.
CAGCCAUGCCGCGUGUGUGAAGAAGGCCUUUUGGUUGUAAAGCACUUUAAGCGAGGAGGAGGCUACCUAGAUUAAUACUCUGGGAUAGUGGACGUUACUCGCAAAAUAACCACCGGCUAACUCUGUGCCAGCAGCCGCGGUAAUACAGAGGGUGCGAGCGUUAAUCGGAUUUACUGGGCGUAAAGCGUGCGUAGGCGGCUGAUUAAGUCGGAUGUGAAAUCCCUGAGCUUAACUUAGGAAUUGCAUUCGAUACUGGUCAGCUAGAGUAUGGGAGAGGAUGGUAGAAUUCCAGGUGUAGCGGUGAAAUGCGUAAAGAUCUGGAGGAAUACCGAUGGCGAAGGCAGCCAUCUGGCCUAAUACUGACGCUGAGGUACGAAAGCAUGGGGAGCAAACAGGAUUAUAUACCCUGGUAGUCCAUGCCGUAAACGAUGUCUACUAGCCGUUGGGGUCUUUGAGGCUUUAGUGGCGCAGCUAACGCGAUAAGUAGACCGCCUGGGGAGUACGGUCGCAAGAC